UUAAGCGACUAAGCGUACACGGUGGAUGCCCUGGCAGUCAGAGGCGAUGAAGGACGUGCUAAUCUGCGAUAAGCGUCGGUAAGGUGAUAUGAACCGUUAUAACCGGCGAUUUCCGAAUGGGGAAACCCAGUGUGAUUCGUCACACUAUCAUUAACUGAAUCCAUAGGUUAAUGAGGCGAACCGGGGGAACUGAAACAUCUAAGUACCCCGAGGAAAAGAAAUCAACCGAGAUUCCCCCAGUAGCGGCGAGCGAACGGGGAGCAGCCCAGAGCCUGAAUCAGUGUGUGUGUUAGUGGAAGCGUCUGGAAAGGCGCGCGAUACAGGGUGACAGCCCCGUACACAAAAAUGCACAUGCUGUGAGCUCGAUGAGUAGGGCGGGACACGUGGUAUCCUGUCUGAAUAUGGGGGGACCAUCCUCCAAGGCUAAAUACUCCUGACUGACCGAUAGUGAACCAGUACCGUGAGGGAAAGGCGAAAAGAACCCCGGCGAGGGGAGUGAAAAAGAACCUGAAACCGUGUACGUACAAGCAGUGGGAGCACGAGCAAGCGUGUGACUGCGUACCUUUUGUAUAAUGGGUCAGCGACUUAUAUUCUGUAGCAAGGUUAACCGAAUAGGGGAGCCGAAGGGAAACCGAGUCUUAACUGGGCGUUAAGUUGCAGGGUAUAGACCCGAAACCCGGUGAUCUAGCCAUGGGCAGGUUGAAGGUUGGGUAACACUAACUGGAGGACCGAACCGACUAAAUGUUGAAAAAUUAGCGGAUGACUUGUGGCUGGGGGUGAAAGGCCAAUCAAACCGGGAGAUAGCUGGUUCUCCCCGAAAGCUAUUUAGGUAGCGCCUCGUGAAUUCAUCUCCGGGGGUAGAGCACUGUUUCGGCAAGGGGGUCAUCCCGACUUACCAACCCGAUGCAAACUGCGAAUACCGGAGAAUGUUAUCACGGGAGACACACGGCGGGUGCUAACGUCCGUCGUGAAGAGGGAAACAACCCAGACCGCCAGCUAAGGUCCCAAAGUCAUGGUUAAGUGGGAAACGAUGUGGGAAGGCCCAGACAGCCAGGAUGUUGGCUUAGAAGCAGCCAUCAUUUAAAGAAAGCGUAAUAGCUCACUGGUCGAGUCGGCCUGCGCGGAAGAUGUAACGGGGCUAAACCAUGCACCGAAGCUGCGGCAGCGACGCUGAUGCGUUGUUGGGUAGGGGAGCGUUCUGUAAGCCUGCGAAGGUGUGCUGUGAGGCAUGCUGGAGGUAUCAGAAGUGCGAAUGCUGACAUAAGUAACGAUAAAGCGGGUGAAAAGCCCGCUCGCCGGAAGACCAAGGGUUCCUGUCCAACGUUAAUCGGGGCAGGGUGAGUCGACCCCUAAGGCGAGGCCGAAAGGCGUAGUCGAUGGGAAACAGGUUAAUAUUCCUGUACUUGGUGUUACUGCGAAGGGGGGACGGAGAAGGCUAUGUUGGCCGGGCGACGGUUGUCCCGGUUUAAGCGUGUAGGCUGGUUUUCCAGGCAAAUCCGGAAAAUCAAGGCUGAGGCGUGAUGACGAGGCACUACGGUGCUGAAGCAACAAAUGCCCUGCUUCCAGGAAAAGCCUCUAAGCAUCAGGUAACAUCAAAUCGUACCCCAAACCGACACAGGUGGUCAGGUAGAGAAUACCAAGGCGCUUGAGAGAACUCGGGUGAAGGAACUAGGCAAAAUGGUGCCGUAACUUCGGGAGAAGGCACGCUGAUAUGUAGGUGAAGCUUGCUGUGGAGCUGAAAUCAGUCGAAGAUACCAGCUGGCUGCAACUGUUUAUUAAAAACACAGCACUGUGCAAACACGAAAGUGGACGUAUACGGUGUGACGCCUGCCCGGUGCCGGAAGGUUAAUUGAUGGGGUCAGCGCAAGCGAAGCUCUUGAUCGAAGCCCCGGUAAACGGCGGCCGUAACUAUAACGGUCCUAAGGUAGCGAAAUUCCUUGUCGGGUAAGUUCCGACCUGCACGAAUGGCGUAAUGAUGGCCAGGCUGUCUCCACCCGAGACUCAGUGAAAUUGAACUCGCUGUGAAGAUGCAGUGUACCCGCGGCAAGACGGAAAGACCCCGUGAACCUUUACUAUAGCUUGACACUGAACAUUGAGCCUUGAUGUGUAGGAUAGGUGGGAGGCUUUGAAGUGUGGACGCCAGUCUGCAUGGAGCCGACCUUGAAAUACCACCCUUUAAUGUUUGAUGUUCUAACGUUGACCCGUAAUCCGGGUUGCGGACAGUGUCUGGUGGGUAGUUUGACUGGGGCGGUCUCCUCCUAAAGAGUAACGGAGGAGCACGAAGGUUGGCUAAUCCUGGUCGGACAUCAGGAGGUUAGUGCAAUGGCAUAAGCCAGCUUGACUGCGAGCGUGACGGCGCGAGCAGGUGCGAAAGCAGGUCAUAGUGAUCCGGUGGUUCUGAAUGGAAGGGCCAUCGCUCAACGGAUAAAAGGUACUCCGGGGAUAACAGGCUGAUACCGCCCAAGAGUUCAUAUCGACGGCGGUGUUUGGCACCUCGAUGUCGGCUCAUCACAUCCUGGGGCUGAAGUAGGUCCCAAGGGUAUGGCUGUUCGCCAUUUAAAGUGGUACGCGAGCUGGGUUUAGAACGUCGUGAGACAGUUCGGUCCCUAUCUGCCGUGGGCGCUGGAGAAUUGAGGGGGGCUGCUCCUAGUACGAGAGGACCGGAGUGGACGCAUCACUGGUGUUCGGGUUGUCAUGCCAAUGGCACUGCCCGGUAGCUAAAUGCGGAAGAGAUAAGUGCUGAAAGCAUCUAAGCACGAAACUUGCCCCGAGAUGAGUUCUCCCUGACUCCUUGAGAGUCCUGAAGGAACGUUGAAGACGACGACGUUGAUAGGCCGGGUGUGUAAGCGCAGCGAUGCGUUGAGCUAACCGGUACUAAUGAACCGUGAGGCUUAACCUU
This 2899-nucleotide ribosomal RNA is filed under the name Escherichia coli DEC10E. RNAcentral's name for it is "bacterial LSU rRNA". It matches the Rfam family "Bacterial large subunit ribosomal RNA". The record is from RNAcentral. Lineage: Bacteria; Pseudomonadati; Pseudomonadota; Gammaproteobacteria; Enterobacterales; Enterobacteriaceae.